GACGAACGCUGGCGGCGCGCCUAACACAUGCAAGUCGAACGGAGCGUUUGAGAGCUUGCUUUUAAAGCUUAGUGGCGAACGGGUGAGUAACGCGUGAGUAACCUGCCCUGGAGUGGGGGACAACAGUUGGAAACGACUGCUAAUACCGCAUAAGCCCACGACCCGGCAUCGGGUUGAGGGAAAAGGAGCAAUCCGCUUUGAGAUGGCCUCGCGUCCGAUUAGCUGGUUGGUGAGGUAACGGCCCACCAAGGCGACGAUCGGUAGCCGGACUGAGAGGUUGAACGGCCACAUUGGGACUGAGACACGGCCCAG
RNAcentral lists this ribosomal RNA (312 nucleotides) under uncultured bacterium. Its description in RNAcentral is "bacterial SSU rRNA". It matches the Rfam family "Bacterial small subunit ribosomal RNA", at positions 28 to 334 of the family's 1533-position model. The record is from RNAcentral.